AGAGUUUGAUCCUGGCUCAGGACGAACGCUGGCGGCACGCUUAACACAUGCAAGUCGAACGAGAGAAGAGGAGCUUGCUUUUCUGAUCUAGUGGCGGACGGGUGAGUAACACGUGAGCAAUCUGCCUUUCAGAGGGGGAUACCGAUUGGAAACGAUCGUUAAUACCGCAUAACAUAAUUGAACCGCAUGAUUUGAUUAUCAAAGAUUUAUCGCUGAAAGAUGAGCUCGCGUCUGAUUAGCUAGUUGGUAAGGUAACGGCUUACCAAGGCGACGAUCAGUAGCCGGACUGAGAGGUUGAUCGGCCACAUUGGGACUGAGACACGGCCCAGACUCCUACGGGAGGCAGCAGUGGGGAAUAUUGCACAAUGGAGGAAACUCUGAUGCAGCGAUGCCGCGUGAGGGAAGAAGGUUUUAGGAUUGUAAACCUCUGUCUUCAGGGACGAAAAAAGACGGUACCUGAGGAGGAAGCUCCGGCUAACUACGUGCCAGCAGCCGCGGUAAUACGUAGGGAGCGAGCGUUGUCCGGAAUUACUGGGUGUAAAGGGAGCGUAGGCGGGAUCGCAAGUCAGAUGUGAAAACUAUGGGCUUAACCCAUAAACUGCAUUUGAAACUGUGGUUCUUGAGUGAAGUAGAGGUAAGCGGAAUUCCUAGUGUAGCGGUGAAAUGCGUAGAUAUUAGGAGGAACAUCAGUGGCGAAGGCGGCUUACUGGGCUUUAACUGACGCUGAGGCUCGAAAGCGUGGGGAGCAAACAGGAUUAGAUACCCUGGUAGUCCACGCCGUAAACGAUGAUUACUAGGUGUGGGGGGACUGACCCCUUCCGUGCCGCAGCAAACGCAAUAAGUAAUCCACCUGGGGAGUACGACCGCAAGGUUGAAACUCAAAGGAAUUGACGGGGGCCCGCACAAGCAGUGGAGUAUGUGGAUUAAUUCGAAGCAACGCGAAGAACCUUACCAGGUCUUGACAUCGUAUGCAUAGCUCAGAGAUGAGUGAAAUCUCUUCGGAGACAUAUAGACAGGUGGUGCAUGGUUGUCGUCAGCUCGUGUCGUGAGAUGUUGGGUUAAGUCCCGCAACGAGCGCAACCCUUACUGUUAGUUGCUACGCAGGAGCACUCUAACAGGACUGCCGUUGACAAAACGGAGGAAGGUGGGGAUGACGUCAAAUCAUCAUACCCCUUAUGACCUGGGCCUCACACGUACUACAAUGGCUGUCAACAGAGGGAAGCAAAGCCGCGAGGUGGAGCGAACCCCUAAAAGCAGUCUUAGUUCGGAUUGUAGGCUGCAACCCGCCUACAUGAAGUCGGAAUUGCUAGUAAUCGCAGAUCAGCAUGCUGCGGUGAAUACGUUCCCGGGCCUUGUACACACCGCCCGUCACGCCAUGGGAGUCGGUAACACCCGAAGCCUGUAGUCUAACCGCAAGGAGGACGCAGUCGAAGGUGGGAUUGAUGACUGGGGUGAAGUCGUAACAAGGUA
RNAcentral lists this ribosomal RNA (1470 nucleotides) under metagenome. RNAcentral describes it as "bacterial SSU rRNA". It matches the Rfam family "Bacterial small subunit ribosomal RNA". The record is from RNAcentral.